AGUUUUCUGAAGAGUCCUACAAUAGGACGAAACGGUCGUCCAGU
RNAcentral lists this non-coding RNA (44 nucleotides) under Schistosoma mansoni. The record is from RNAcentral. Lineage: Eukaryota; Metazoa; Platyhelminthes; Trematoda; Strigeidida; Schistosomatidae.